This 70-nucleotide microRNA precursor is filed under the name Pelobates cultripes (western spadefoot toad). The record is from RNAcentral. Lineage: Eukaryota; Metazoa; Chordata; Amphibia; Anura; Pelobatidae.
CAACGUUUCAGUCCUCUCCAAGGACUUUCAUCAGGAUCAUGUUGGAGUCCUUGGAGAGGACUGAAACGUU